GUUUGGCAAACGGGAGAGCUGAGGAGAGCCCAACAGUGGGAUCCUUUUACAGGGCUGGGAGUUAAUGCCACCUGAAGGAAUAAGCCAGAGUCCGUGCUGUCUUUGCAAUCGACGCCGUAUCAGAUCUCAUCGGCUUCCUCCCUGUGUAGCCUACUUGUGAUUUCUCCCGGUUCCCAACCGUGUGCGACGCGCGGAGACACCUCACCGUGGCUCUGUAGUACUGAGCAGGCUCCAGCUCGAGCUGUUAUUGGCGGACUCCUGCACGAUUUUAUCCAGCCCCCUUUUCUACUUGUUCCGCCCAGGUCUGACCGUGCCAUCAUCUGGCGGAGAGAUGAACUGCAAAUACGUAAUGCAGACUGUAGCCUGCUAUUUAUGAACGGCAUGCUUUCUUUGAUGCUUGUGGUGCAGCAGGUGCAUCAGAGGAGUAAUGGAGAUCCUCUGCGUUCAAAGGAAAACCUCUCAGUCAAUUAAUAAAUGGAAAUGAAUGGCAGCCAAAGAGAGGGAAGGAGAAGGAAGUCAAUAGACAGCUAAUUUAUUUUGGACAAAUCCAUACCACCAAAGGGGGGUCUGAAGGUGACAGCGAUGACUCAGAGGUGUCUCCUGUCCAGAAUCAGAGACUCCAGGGAUACCCUACCCCCCACCUUCAGCUAGACAAGAAGCAUCAUGGGUAAUAUGAUUCAGUCCAGCUUGCUGUGCAUGUGCAAGGAGCAAAACUCCACCCUGAAUUGUUGGUCUUUUGACGCAGGAGCAAAGCGUUCGGAGCUGUGACUGAAUAGAUGGCAGAUUUGGUGCCCAAACUACAGACUGCAAACUGAUGCAGAAAUUUGACACUGCUGUUUAACCUCAUUUUCAGUUUGAGAUGAAACCACAGAGGUGGAGGAGACGGAGAGCGAUGUGUAGUACGCAGAAGGAGAAACAAUGCAUCAUACAAUGUGUGUGUAUGUAGCACUACACAGUGCAAUUAAAAUGGAAAUACAUGCAUAUUCCUGUUGUGAAGUGGCAGCUGGUUCUGAGCCAGCAUCUCAAAGUUCAUCUGUUCAUUUAUUACGGUUUCUUUUCUCUGAUUCAUUUCUUUUCUUUUACUUUAUUUAGCCUUUGUCACACUGCCAUAUACGUGUAUAUAUUUUUUAUCUACAUAUGUUCAUUUGUGCAGCUAUGUUUCUUUAUUUAUGUUCUGUGAAUUUUGUGUUUGCUUUGUCUGUAUUUCCUGUAUUUCUUCUUCUGAUUUUAUUCCACUAUUUGUUUUCUGCUUUGCUUUUUAGUGAUACACACUAGUAAUAGUAGGGCUUCCUUACUCACUGCACUUACUUAAUUGGGUGAAAGAAAGUUCAUUUACAUAAAAGGUAUAUUCCUUGAAUGUCUGUCACCUGUGGGACCAUCUUUAUGGUAAUGACUUUGAAGUACGCACCAAAUUUUAAAGAGAGAUCACAGUGUAUCUGUAUUUGUAUUUGUGUGUAUGUUGGAAUUACCUUGAAUUAUGAAAUAAGUUUUUCACAAUUAUUUCUGUUUAUAUUCUGUAUUACUUUCCCUUUCCUAUCCUCCAUUAUAAUGAG
Molecule: long non-coding RNA, 1553 nt
Organism: Perca flavescens (yellow perch)
Lineage: Eukaryota; Metazoa; Chordata; Actinopteri; Perciformes; Percidae
Exons: 3
Source: RefSeq, a predicted model, not a curated record